UUUAUACAGUGAAACUGCGAAUGGCUCAUUAUAUCAGUCAUAGUUUAUUUGAAAGUCCCUUACUACAUG
Molecule: ribosomal RNA, 69 nt
Filed under: Sargassaceae sp. 61-161
Lineage: Eukaryota; Phaeophyceae; Fucales; Sargassaceae
Description: partial 18S ribosomal RNA
Source: RNAcentral